Molecule: unclassified non-coding RNA, 200 nt
Filed under: soil metagenome
Description: partial contains internal transcribed spacer 2 and large subunit ribosomal RNA
Source: RNAcentral
UGUGUAACAAACGGCUCGUCUGAAAUGCCUGAGUGUACCCUGCUUUGCGGCGUAUUCGGUGUGAUACAUCUUCACCGGAGUCUCGACUUUCGGGUCGGCGUCUGUACGAGUUUGGCUCUAUGCUUUCCAACCGUCCCUGACAAGGACAAUAACUCUGACAAUUUGACCUCAAAUCGGGUGGGACUACCCGCUGAACUUAA